GACGAACGCUGGCGGCGUGCUUAACACAUGCAAGUCGAACGGAAAGGCCCUGCUUUUGUGGGGUGCUCGAGUGGCGAACGGGUGAGUAACACGUGAGUAACCUGCCCUUGACUUUGGGAUAACUUCAGGAAACUGGGGCUAAUACCGGAUAGGAGCUCCUGCUGCAUGGUGGGGGUUGGAAAGUUUCGGCGGUUGGGGAUGGACUCGCGGCUUAUCAGCUUGUUGGUGGGGUAGUGGCUUACCAAGGCUUUGACGGGUAGCCGGCCUGAGAGGGUGACCGGAGACAUUGGGACUGAGAUACGGCACAGACUACUACGGGAGGCAGCAGUGGGGAAUAUUGCACAAUGGGAGGAAGCCUGAUGCAGCAAAGCAGCGUGCGGGAUGACGGCCUUCGGGUUGUAAACCGCUUUCGCAUGUGACGAAGCGUGAGUGACGGUAAUGGGUAAAGAAGCACCGGCUAACUACGUG
This 468-nucleotide ribosomal RNA is filed under the name uncultured bacterium. RNAcentral's name for it is "partial 16S ribosomal RNA". It matches the Rfam family "Bacterial small subunit ribosomal RNA", at positions 28 to 507 of the family's 1533-position model. The record is from RNAcentral.